RNAcentral lists this long non-coding RNA (1116 nucleotides) under Rosa chinensis. RNAcentral's name for it is "sRNA RchiOBHm_Chr1g0335181". The record is from RNAcentral. Lineage: Eukaryota; Viridiplantae; Streptophyta; Magnoliopsida; Rosales; Rosaceae.
AAAAGCAGAAUCAAACCCCAAAUAAAAAAGAAAAUAAGCAACAACUUGGAGAAACAUUAGACUAAGCGUCAGACCAUGUGAUAUCCAAGUGACCCCAGUCGUCCUCAGAUACACCUAAGGCUUUCCAGACAGCCUUGGAGGCAUCAACAUGUUAUCAAAAUGAAAAUUAACUAAGAAUCAAUCAGCGAGUGAGUGUGGAAGAGGAGGGAUUUACUUGGAUAUUCGUGUUAUGCCAUUUGCAGAGAAGGGCUUGCCAUCAUUGUUGAGGUCCAAAGAACAAGUCUCCUAGAUUUGGGUUCUACGGACCAAGAGAAAAAGAGAGGAGACGAAGAAAAAAAGAGACAUGCCCAGCUGGGAGGAGAAAGAGAUGAACUGGAAUUCAGCUAUUAAAAUAGAAGUUCCUAUGCUUGCUCUGUAGUUGUUAGAAGAACCAUUCUGUUAAUCAUGGUUGCAUAAAAGAUUCAGGUAUUAGGAGGGAUCUAAUUUAUGAAAUCCUUUUCCGAUAAGAGGCUGAUGGAAAAUUGGACAAAGAGUUCAGUGGUGAUGAGACUGCAAGAAUGAUUUGGGCAGCAGCAGAUAGAGUUACUGAAAUUGAAUGUGGAGGCAGUCAUGGAUUCAUAGCAAAGAGUGGGAAUUAGGAUGCAAGAACAAUUGUCAAGGACUGGACUCAUUUUCUCCUUCUGUAAAGGUCACGAGAAAGAUAACUUAGUAAGCUAGGAGUUGGUGGGUAGAUGGAAGGAGAAUGGAGGUGGGAGCAAUUUGAUCGGGCAAUAAAGAACUUCAUAGGAGAUAUCAUUGGGAGCCAUAUUCCUUGUGGCAGGGUACGGCUGAGAAUGGAUGGCUAAGCCACUGUAUAAGACAAUCUCACAUCCUCUUUAGAGUGCUGCAAAUUUGUAUUGUGGAAUGAGGAGAAGAUGAGAUUUGGGGAAGCGGUUGUACAAGUCGUUUAUGCAGCUGCUGUUUCCCAGAUAUUUGGGCUCCUGUUUCACUUGUGCCUUUACAAGGCAGAAUGGUUUGGGUGUUAUCUGUAAAAUUUUAAUAUUUGACAGAUAUCAUUUUGGUCAGAAUCUCAUUAUAUGACCUUUAAUGUUCUUAAAUUGAAAUUGAUUGUUACUG